ACAAACUUGGUCAUUUAGAGGAAGUAAAAGUCGUAACAAGGUCUCCGUUGGUGAACCAGCGGAGGGAUCAUUACUGAGACUUAAUCUCAACCCUUGUGAACUUACUGUGUUGCUUCGGCAGGUUUUCCCUGGGAGGGAAAUGGCUUCGGCAACCUGCCAGAGGCUUUUUUAACUCUGAUUUUGUGGAUUUUCUGAGUUCUUUUAAAACAAGAAAAAACUUUCAGCAACGGAUCUCUUGGUUCUGGCAUCGAUGAAGAACGCAGC
This 264-nucleotide unclassified non-coding RNA is filed under the name uncultured fungus. RNAcentral describes it as "partial contains small subunit ribosomal RNA, internal transcribed spacer 1, and 5.8S ribosomal RNA". The stretch from base 1 to 73 matches the Rfam family "Eukaryotic small subunit ribosomal RNA", at positions 1759 to 1831 of the family's 1831-position model. Lineage: Eukaryota; Fungi. The record is from RNAcentral.